This 293-nucleotide ribosomal RNA is filed under the name uncultured bacterium. RNAcentral's name for it is "partial 16S ribosomal RNA". It matches the Rfam family "Bacterial small subunit ribosomal RNA", at positions 775 to 1067 of the family's 1533-position model. The record is from RNAcentral.
GGAUUAGAUACCCUGGUAGUCCACGCCGUAAACGAUGUCAACUAGCUGUCUGUGGACUUGAUCUGUGGGUAGCGCAGCUAACGCACUAAGUUGACCGCCUGGGGAGUACGGCCGCAAGGUUAAAACUCAAAUGAAUUGACGGGGGCCCGCACAAGCGGUGGAGCAUGUGGUUUAAUUCGAUGCAACGCGAAGAACCUUACCAUCCCUUGACAUCCAGAGAACUUUCUAGAGAUAGAUUGGUGCCUUCGGGAACUCUGAGACAGGUGCUGCAUGGCUGUCGUCAGCUCGUGCUG